RNAcentral lists this ribosomal RNA (427 nucleotides) under uncultured bacterium. RNAcentral describes it as "partial 16S ribosomal RNA". It matches the Rfam family "Bacterial small subunit ribosomal RNA", at positions 355 to 774 of the family's 1533-position model. The record is from RNAcentral.
UGGGGAAUAUUGCACAAUGGGCGCAAGCCUGAUGCAGCCAUGCCGCGUGUAUGAAGAAGGCCUUCGGGUUGUAAAGUACUUUCAGCGAGGAGGAAGGCGUUGUGGUUAAUAACCGCAGCGAUUGACGUUACUCGCAGAAGAAGCACCGGCUAACUCCGUGCCAGCAGCCGCGGUAAUACGGAGGGUGCAAGCGUUAAUCGGAAUUACUGGGCGUAAAGCGCGCGCAGGCGGUCUGUCAAGUCGGAUGUGAAAUCCCCGGGCUCAACCUGGGAACUGCAUCCGAAACUGGCAGGCUAGAGUCUUGUAGAGGGGGGUAGAAUUCCAGGUGUAGCGGUGAAAUGCGUAGAGAUCUGGAGGAAUACCGGUGGCGAAGGCGGCCCCCUGGACAAAGACUGACGCUCAGGUGCGAAAGCGUGGGGAGCAAACA